Molecule: ribosomal RNA, 433 nt
Filed under: uncultured bacterium
Lineage: Bacteria
Description: partial 16S ribosomal RNA
Rfam family: Bacterial small subunit ribosomal RNA
Source: RNAcentral
AACGAACGCUGGCGGCAGGCUUAACACAUGCAAGUCGAGCGCAUCCUUCGGGGUGAGCGGCGGACGGGUGAGUAACGCGUGGGAACGUGCCCUCUUCUACGGAAUAGCCUCGGGAAACUGAGAGUAAUGCCGUAUACGCCCGCAAGGGGAAAGAUUUAUCGGAGGAGGAUCGGCCCGCGUUGGAUUAGGUAGUUGGUGGGGUAACGGCCUACCAAGCCGACGAUCCAUAGCUGGUUUGAGAGGAUGAUCAGCCACACUGGGACUGAGACACGGCCCAGACUCCUACGGGAGGCAGCAGUGGGGAAUCUUGGACAAUGGGGGCAACCCUGAUCCAGCCAUGCCGCGUGAUCGAUGAAGGCCUUAGGGUUGUAAAGAUCUUUCAGCUGGGAAGAUAAUGACGGUACCAGCAGAAGAAGCCCCGGCUAGCUCCGUG